This 1484-nucleotide ribosomal RNA is filed under the name Limosilactobacillus fermentum. Its description in RNAcentral is "bacterial SSU rRNA". It matches the Rfam family "Bacterial small subunit ribosomal RNA". Lineage: Bacteria; Bacillati; Bacillota; Bacilli; Lactobacillales; Lactobacillaceae. The record is from RNAcentral.
GAAGUGCGGUGUGCUAUACAUGCAAGUCGAACGCGUUGGCCCAAUUGAUUGAUGGUGCUUGCACCUGAUUGAUUUUGGUCGCCAACGAGUGGCGGACGGGUGAGUAACACGUAGGUAACCUGCCCAGAAGCGGGGGACAACAUUUGGAAACAGAUGCUAAUACCGCAUAACAGCGUUGUUCGCAUGAACAACGCUUAAAAGAUGGCUUCUCGCUAUCACUUCUGGAUGGACCUGCGGUGCAUUAGCUUGUUGGUGGGGUAACGGCCUACCAAGGCGAUGAUGCAUAGCCGAGUUGAGAGACUGAUCGGCCACAAUGGGACUGAGACACGGCCCAUACUCCUACGGGAGGCAGCAGUAGGGAAUCUUCCACAAUGGGCGCAAGCCUGAUGGAGCAACACCGCGUGAGUGAAGAAGGGUUUCGGCUCGUAAAGCUCUGUUGUUAAAGAAGAACACGUAUGAGAGUAACUGUUCAUACGUUGACGGUAUUUAACCAGAAAGUCACGGCUAACUACGUGCCAGCAGCCGCGGUAAUACGUAGGUGGCAAGCGUUAUCCGGAUUUAUUGGGCGUAAAGAGAGUGCAGGCGGUUUUCUAAGUCUGAUGUGAAAGCCUUCGGCUUAACCGGAGAAGUGCAUCGGAAACUGGAUAACUUGAGUGCAGAAGAGGGUAGUGGAACUCCAUGUGUAGCGGUGGAAUGCGUAGAUAUAUGGAAGAACACCAGUGGCGAAGGCGGCUACCUGGUCUGCAACUGACGCUGAGACUCGAAAGCAUGGGUAGCGAACAGGAUUAGAUACCCUGGUAGUCCAUGCCGUAAACGAUGAGUGCUAGGUGUUGGAGGGUUUCCGCCCUUCAGUGCCGGAGCUAACGCAUUAAGCACUCCGCCUGGGGAGUACGACCGCAAGGUUGAAACUCAAAGGAAUUGACGGGGGCCCGCACAAGCGGUGGAGCAUGUGGUUUAAUUCGAAGCUACGCGAAGAACCUUACCAGGUCUUGACAUCUUGCGCCAACCCUAGAGAUAGGGCGUUUCCUUCGGGAACGCAAUGACAGGUGGUGCAUGGUCGUCGUCAGCUCGUGUCGUGAGAUGUUGGGUUAAGUCCCGCAACGAGCGCAACCCUUGUUACUAGUUGCCAGCAUUAAGUUGGGCACUCUAGUGAGACUGCCGGUGACAAACCGGAGGAAGGUGGGGACGACGUCAGAUCAUCAUGCCCCUUAUGACCUGGGCUACACACGUGCUACAAUGGACGGUACAACGAGUCGCGAACUCGCGAGGGCAAGCAAAUCUCUUAAAACCGUUCUCAGUUCGGACUGCAGGCUGCAACUCGCCUGCACGAAGUCGGAAUCGCUAGUAAUCGCGGAUCAGCAUGCCGCGGUGAAUACGUUCCCGGGCCUUGUACACACCGCCCGUCACACCAUGAGAGUUUGUAACACCCAAAGUCGGUGGGGUAACCUUUUAGGAGCCAGCCGCCUAAGGUGACAGAGUAGUAA